This 3354-nucleotide ribosomal RNA is filed under the name Triticum aestivum (bread wheat). RNAcentral's name for it is "partial small subunit ribosomal RNA". Lineage: Eukaryota; Viridiplantae; Streptophyta; Magnoliopsida; Poales; Poaceae. The record is from RNAcentral.
AUGGCUCCCACCAGCGGGAGCGUCGGGAGCGUCGGGAGUGUGGGGAGCGUCGGGAGCGUCGGGAGUGUGGGCAGCGUCGGGGCCGUGGGGAGAGUCACAGCUGGCAAGUCCGGCAACCCCAUCGCCUUGGACUCGCCGACGCCGGCACCGCGUGUCGCUGCAACCUUCUCGUUCAGCUCCCUCCCGUCGCAGGACGCGAGCACCGCCAGUAGCAGGAGCGCGGCGGCGAGACACUUCGCCAUUGCUAACUGGGAGGCUCUGGUCACGGGCGGCAGAGAGGCAUUCAAGUAUGGCGGCAUGUCAACGUCGGUGGAUUGGAAUGUGGCGGAUGGAAUUAUUGUCCGCGAAUCCGUCCUGCCUCUUUUCAUCGCAGUCGAGAAGGCCAGGUCACGUAGUCAAGAGUCAACCGUUCACGACUCGACCUGUGACUGUGUGACCGUGCUCGACUCGCCCGUGCUGGACUGGGCGAGCGGCGCCGCCAAUCUCGAUUGGAAAGGAGCGCGGGGGCUGAAUGAGAUGGAGCGAGGAGACAGUGCUUCAAAUCGAGGGGAGGUUCAGGUUCUGCCACCACUCGCAAUUAUAGUGAAAUUUUUUCCCUGUAAAGUCAAGCUCAGUGAUGGUAGUGUCCAAGACAUUGAUAGAGAUACCACCGUGAGGUUGGAUGUCGAAUUUGCAGAUGUUGAUCCCCAGGAAUUGGAGAGCAUGAAGGAGAAGGCCGUGGGCAAUUUGGUGGAGAGAAUUAGGGAGAGUAUUGUUUGGGGUCCAGAACAAGAGGUAUCUCUGCAACGUUUCGAUAACUAUAAUGGUGAAUAUGUGAGAAUUGAAGAUGGAGAAUCCAUGGUUGCUGAAAUUGAUCAGCAAGAAGGGUGGGUAAGCAAACAAGUAAUAUUUUAUGCAGAGCUAAUUGAUCUGCAAACUCAUUCCAGAGUUGGUUAUGUGCCAUCAAAGAUGGCUGCACAGGUGGAAUAUGAUGAGUGGGUUUCACAAAAGAAGAUGUUGGCAUUGUUGACUGAACCGACUGUAGUAGCUGAAGAUACAGGGAUUGCUGCACAUGGAGAGGGGGGAACCCAUGGUGCUAGGAAGAUUGUUGUUGACUGGAAUGUAGUAGAGUUGAAUGAAAAAACAGAUUUGGUCAUUACACCAAUAUCUGACAUUGAUAUGGCCAAAAUGUUUGGCAUUCAAGUUGAUGACAAAGAUAAGGAGAAGGAUGACAGUUCUUUGCCUGCUGAUGGUAACACAGGCCCUAGAAAUGCAAAUGAGGAUGAAGAAGAGCUGAUGAGAGAGGCUACAGAUGAUGUGGAUGAUGCAGAUGAUAAUGAGCUGGUUUGUUUGUAUGACAAAGAGAACCCAGUUAUUGAGGUGGGAAAGUUGUGGCCAAGCAUGAAGGAGUUUAGGAUGUCUUUCAGGACCUAUGCAGUGAGAAAAGAGUUUGAUGCCCAGACUAUGUGGACUGAUCAGAAAAAAAUUAUGCUCGGUGAAAAGGUUAUGAUGGUGGUGGCAAUCCUUGCAAAUGGUACUUGUCUGCCAGACUACAACCUGAUGGAAGUACAGAGGAAGCGUGCAGAAAAAGCCCCACCUCUUGUUGUUGAACAAUGCUGGCCAGUGAAAAAAGCAAGACUCAAUGGCUUUAGAUGGAAGAGCGCUAAGCAGAUAAUGUUUGGUGACAAAGAUAUGGAGCAAACUGAAACUGUUAUUGCUGAACAUGAGCUAAGUGUUUCUGUUUUGGACGAUGUGAUGCAUACUGAAUCUGUUUUGCAGGCGCUAGGGCAAUCUGAAACUAUUGCAGAUGAAACAACUGUUGUGCUGCCAUGCGAAUCUGCUUUGACAGCUGUGUUGCCAUGUUUGGAGGUUGUGCUGCCAAGUGUUGAGUUGCAAACUGAAGUAGUUGAACAAUGUGUGCCACCUACUCAAUCUGUAAAAGUGCAAACUGAAGAAGUGGGACAUGGUCAGUUCUACGGCCCUACCUACCGUCGCCCUCACACCGUGCUGGAGAGGGAGUACCCGGCCGGAGUCAUCGUCGAGAAUAGCCUGAGGGUGUGGGCCAUCUCAAGAUGGAGGGGCCCUAGAGAGUUGGCUCGCUUCUUCCUCCAAGCCGGCUACCGCCACCUCCCUCCGGGCACUCCGCCCAUAUUCCACCUCCAUGAGAAGUACGAUGGUGACGCCAACGGCAUCGUCAUCGGCCUCUACGUCACCUUCACUAACCCCUACGACGCUCACCACCUCCUCGGCCAGGAUGGUCAUGGACCGAUCGUCGUCCACACUUCCCACUCCAGCCCGCUGCCUCCUCGAAACCCGACACCCCCAAACCCUAGCCUCUCCCCAUCCUCGAGCUCGUCGGCCGGCCGCCUCGCAGCCAUGGGGUUCUGGAACCACAGGCGCAAGGGGAAGCACGACCGCGAGGCUGGCUCCUCCUCGCGAUGCCGUCGCGGCUCCGUGAAAGAGGAGGCCGCUUCGCCGCCGCAUCGGGCCCCCGCGCCUGCCCCAUUCACCAUCGGCCCUAGGGCCACCGGCGAGCGCGACCGGCAGUACCUGGCCGUGGACGUAUGCCGACGUUAUUGGGAGACGCGGACGCCGGUCCCAUGGAGCGACGUCCACCUCCCCAACCACUGGCACCUCUCCACCGAUCGGGUCCCGAUCCCGUCGGUCCCGAUGAGCGGCUAUGCGCACCGCAAUGAGAUUGAGCGCCACCGCCGCCUCCUCCCCGACGACCUCUACUACGAUGAUAGCCUCACACCCACGCCAUCGCCUUCCCCAUCUCUGUCGCCACAUCCACCUCCUUGCAUGAGAGCGGAGGAGGAGGCCCGGCUCAUGCAACGUUUCAUGGAGGACUCCAUGAACACGCACGAUGAGCGCCAAUGGCCGGGCCUCGAGGAGACGAUGGCCCUCUCUGCGGCCGGCGACAUCGCCAUCCCCGAGCUGGAGAUGGUGAGAGUGGAGGAGGUGGUGGAGGAGGAGCCGGUGGCCGCGUUCCACCCGGCCCUGGUUGGGCAGCAGUGGAGCUGGUCGUGCUCGGCUCCGGAGAUGGCCGACGCCGUGGGGGUCGCGAACUGGUGCCCCACGCCGCCGCGGUCACAGGAGCAGGACGCGUCGCCACGGGAGGAGGUGGUGCAGGCACCUCCCUCCUUCCAGCCCAACCCCGUCUACCACGGACCGCCGACCCACCUCUGGACGCCGCCGGACUACGUCGACGUCAUCAGCGACGACGAUGACAUCGGCGGCCAGCGAAGACGGCGACGGCCACGACAUCGGCGGGCACGGCAGGAGCGUGCGGGAGGCCAGAAGACGGUGUCUCCUCAACUGGCCCCGGAGAUGCAGAGGAAACAAUAUGCAUUGAGUUCAGAGUUCAGACUGUAA